Molecule: long non-coding RNA, 527 nt
Organism: Homarus americanus (American lobster)
Lineage: Eukaryota; Metazoa; Arthropoda; Malacostraca; Decapoda; Nephropidae
Exons: 2
Source: RefSeq, a predicted model, not a curated record
CCUCCCCAUCUUCCUCCCUAAGUAGUUCCUCCCCAUCUUCCUCCCUAAAUAGUUCCUCCCCAUCUUUCUUCCCAGAUAGUUCCUCCCUAAGUAGUUCCUUCCCAUCUUCCUCCCUAAGUAGUUCCUCCCCAUCUUUCUUCCCAGAUAGUUCCUCCCUAAGUAGUUCCUCCCCAUCUUCUUCCCUAAGUAGUUCCUCCCCAUCUUUCUUCCCAGAUAGUUCCUCCCUAAGUAGUUCCUCCCCAGGUAGUUCCUUCACCUUUCCCCCUCCUCUGUCCUUCCAAUUCUCCUGUGGUGGUCCCCUUUCCUCUAAUGGGUCAACUUCCUCCUCCUUCUUCUUGGAGAUUUUAAAUUCCUCGGGAUAAAAUUACGUCUAGUCAUGAUUCACCAUCGUGUCAAGGGAGAGUCAUGAUUCACCAUCGUGUCAAGGGAGAGUCAUGAUUCACCAUAGUGUCAAGGGAGAGUCAUGAUUCACCAUAGUGUCAAGGGAGAGUCAUGAUUCACCAUAGUGUCAAGGGAGAGUCAUGAUU